Molecule: long non-coding RNA, 1293 nt
Organism: Anolis carolinensis (green anole)
Lineage: Eukaryota; Metazoa; Chordata; Lepidosauria; Squamata; Anolidae
Exons: 2
Source: RefSeq, a predicted model, not a curated record
UUUGAGCCAGGGUGUACCAGGUUUCACCCUGGAAAUCUGUUUUCGGUGCCCAGUCUCAGACCCAAAAAAUGUGUUGUCAUAACAAUAUGUUUUCAUUGAUAUCUCCUGCUAUUUCAUAGAUCCUGCUACAACUCCUCUCUGAGAAAGGGUUUAUUACUGGGUGAUGGGCUCACUGAUGGGCUCAUCUCUUACUUACAAUAUAAGCAACAAAUGCAACCAAUGUUGUUAUGGUUGAGCCUUCUGGCUCCGGUACUGGGAGACGGGGUCGUAAGACUCCUCGAGAGUCAGACUCUUUUGAGGAGCGAGAAAGGAAACGGCUCCGGGACUUAUUUGCAGAACCAACAGAUGAAGACUCAUUUGAGGGUUUUACCGAGGGAAUGGAGGAAGAAAUGGUUAGUUCAGAGGAGGAUGACAUGGAAUGGACUCGUGUGAGGGAGGAUUUGGGUGCCACCGGCAAUGUUAGCAAUGGAGGCGAUUGGCGGGUUGCAGGAUCAGACCCAUGGAUGGGUUGGAGGGAUGGAGCGGGAUCCACAGCUGGGGAUGCUGUGGGGCGUAGUCAAAGGUGUUUUAGCUCUGAUGAGGAUGAUGAUGACGAGGCACCUGGAAUUAGGAUAGCAGCUGAUAGCGAUGAGGAGUUAUGAACUGGGAUAAAAUGGGGUUUAGGAUCAAUGGCUAAUUGCGUUGGGCAAGGUAAUCUGGACGAACGCUUGGGCUCUUGUUGGGGAACUUCCUGAAGACGGGUGUGAUUCGUUGCUGGAUACCUUGGACCUCCGUCGUCUUUUUGACGGACAUUAAUUACCUACUCUGGAUUGACGCUGGACUGACUGACUGAAUAUGACCUUGGACUAUCCCUUCUGUGGCUGUCGGUGAACUCGUGGAACUCUAGACGCCUGCACUUGGCUUUCGACCUCGGACCGGACUGGGACCCCGCUGACCGCCGUGAUCCUGAUUGAUGUGCCUGGACCCGGAUUUCGCUCGUUGCACGGAGGAGUAACAGCCUGAGUUACUCAUCUGUAGCUUUUGGGUAGCAGAGAAGAAUCUGCUGCCAGUUUUUUGUGUUCAUUUUGACCUUUGUUACUAACUUUUGUUUGUUUGAAUUGCCAGGCUGAAGUAAGCACUUUUGAGUUAGUUCGGAUUAAACUCCUGUUUAAUCCGGUUUAUUCUUUCGAACCGUUUUAAUUCAAACGGAGCUGUUUUUGUUACUUUUUCACUGAAGACAAGUGUUUGCCUAGUCCUUUGUUUUCUACGGGCACUUUUCAGUUCUGUAACUUCAAUAAACUGUGUUGUACUCUA